GCAAUGGGCGCACGUAACUAUGGACCUUCAGAUAUCUGAUUGAGAUUUCUUUUACUAGCAAGUUAGUUUAGGCAAAGGCUAUCUAAUUGUUUUGAAAACACACUGUAUUGUUUUCUAAAGUAUUAGCUAGGCCUGGUUUAUUAUAACUCGCCGUGUGCUUCACAUUAUAAACCCUACUCACUCUCUCGUCAUCAUGGACGAGGAAUAUUACGAGAGGAAUAUUGGAGACUGGGAUGGUCCGGAUGGCAAUGCUACUGUUUGGGCCGUAGCACACGCCAAAUAGAUGACAGAUAACCCACAAGCCAAUCGUGACCUUCUCUUGUGAAGCCCAGACGUAAGAGAGAGAACAAAGGCUGAACCUGGUCUUAACUUCCAAUGCCCAACCCCCCUCCACGCCACUCCGCCAACCACCAGGAUGCCCGGCAUCAGAACAUUCCAGGCAUUCCCGUGAUUGGCAGAUAGCAGGUUGAUUGACAUGUCGGACCCCGCGAACACCGGGUACUGCAGGACGACUAUGUUGAAGGGGAGAAUGAUGGGAAAGUUCAGGAGGACUGCCUACAGAAGUUCUCCAGCAGAGAUUACAUCAUGGAGCCUGCUGUAUUCAACACCCUUAAAACGUAAACACACUAUUGCGUGUGCCUGCCUAGUAACGUUAGUGUGUGAAGAGUCAAACCAUUUCCUGCAGAGGCUUCUGUUUCCACAGAUAUUUUCAGGCUGGUGGCUCCCCUGAACACGUCAUCCAGCUCCUGUCAGAGAACUACUCCGCUGUGGCCCACACUGUCAAUCUGCUGGCAGAGUGGCUCAUCCAGAUGGGUUAACAACAAUGGACUGGGCUGCAAAUGGCAACCUUUUCCCUAUGCAGUGUACUACUUUUGACCAGUAAUGUACUGCAUGGGGAAUAGUGUGCCAUUUGGGACAAAACCCUGGACUCCACAUACACUGAAAAUGUUUUUUUUUUGUUCCUCUCACACUGUUUGAGACACAUAGUGGAAUGUAUGAUUUUUCGGACUGUGUAUUGCAAGUGUAGAUCCAGCUCAGGUGCAGGAACGGGUAGAGAAUCAUUUGAAGAGUCUGCUGACCAAGCACUUUGACCCCCAGAAGGCUGACUCCAUCUUUACCGUGGAGGGAGAGACUCCUGCCUGGCUGGAACAGAUGAUCGCCCACACCACCUGGAGAGACCUUUUCUACAAGCUGGCCGAGGCCAACCCUGACUGUCUGAUGCUCAACUUCACUGUCAAGCUCAUCUCAGAUGCCGGCUAUCAGGGGAGAUCACCAGUGUGUCCACGGCGUGCCAGCAGCUGGAGGUGUUCGCCAGGGUCCUGAGAACCUCUCUGGCCACACUGCUGGAUGGAGGAGAGGACAACCUGGAGAAGAACCUGCCAGAGUUCACUAAGAUGGUGUGUCACGGUGAGCACACUUACCUGUUUGCCCAGGCCAUGAUGUCCAUCAUGUCUCAGGAGGAGCAGGGAGGGUCGGCCAGGAAGUACAGAAGUCUGCACAUCAGAGGUGUAGGAUUUGAUUGCCUCACCGUACACUUCGGACUUUGUCCAGCUGUUCCUGCCCAUCCUGGAGAACGUCAGCAUCGCUGGAACCAUUCGGACAGAAGGAGAACAUGACCCUGUUGCGGAGUUCAUAGCCCACUGCAAAUCCAACUUCAUCACGAAGAACUGAGAAUGACACUGGUUUGGUUUAACUUGACUGAGGAUGUAGCGGGAAGACCAGGACCUUUUGGUUAUGAGCCAAUCCCUGGAUGUGUUCUGCUGAACGAGGACUGGAACAUUGCCGAUUUUGAGGCUGACCACUUGGGUGUAGACUUUCACCUGCAACUUUUUAUUUUCAAAUGUGGUGUAAACACAUGACUCAGAAUUAGGAUGUUGUGUAUUAUUGCUUCUCUGGAGGUAUGUGGAGAACUUGUGCAGCUCCAUUCAUUUCACUGUAGUUUCCAUUAGUAUGAGCUAAAGUUUAGGUCUGUUAAUAUGUAUGUAUGACUGACUGCUCAAAAGGUUUGGCCUUUUUCAUGGUUGCCUUUUUCAAUUUGACAAGAAUCAUGACACAUCUUGGUUUUAUUAGUUCCAGACAUAGCGACAUCCACCAUUCUGCAGCAUUUAUUUUGAGGUGGUUCAGAAAAUGUAUCAACUAUUAAAACAAUUUUCUGUAACAGGCCUGGAUUCAAACAAAUUGAACUGUGGAAACCGACGACAAGCAUAAAUUACCUUUAAGCUAAGUGCAGUGAGAUGUCAGUCCAUUUGUUUGAAUCCUGGCCUUGCUUUCAGAAUACUGAAAUCAUUCAGUUAAAUUUGCAUACAACAAAAGACAAGUGGCAUCAGAAUUGAUCAAAGCUUUAACAUUUACAGCCACAAUUAAUUCUUCCUAGCCUUUUGAGCUUAAGCUAAAUUGUGCACCUAAUAUCAGCAUUUGUACUUGUUCAAAAGACAAAGUACAUAAUGACUUGUUCAGUAACAUUUUGUAUAAGAAAAAGAUCCGAAAGCACAUCAAGGCAACAUUUUUUUUAAAUAACUUCCCUCUUCCUGAUUUUACCAUGGUACAUUGUUACAAUGUGGAAGUAGCCUGAGAUUGUCAAAGAAAACUAUAGAUAUACAAUGCUGCCUAUUCUUUGUAACAGCUUCAGGGGCCUCAUUUAUAAAUGCUGCCUACAUGCAAAAGUUGGCAUUCAUAAAAACUGAAAAUGUGCUUACCUCCAUGCAAACACACAUUUUGUAGUGGUUGAAGUCUGGUAUUCCAAGCAGGCAAGUUGGUAUUUUGUGCAAAUGGUGGAUGACACGCUUAUUUACAAAUAAAAAUAAAUGCAACCA
Molecule: RNA transcript, 2813 nt
Organism: Oncorhynchus nerka (sockeye salmon)
Lineage: Eukaryota; Metazoa; Chordata; Actinopteri; Salmoniformes; Salmonidae
Gene name: negative elongation factor D-like
Exons: 8
Source: RefSeq, a predicted model, not a curated record